RNAcentral lists this ribosomal RNA (431 nucleotides) under uncultured bacterium. RNAcentral's name for it is "partial 16S ribosomal RNA". It matches the Rfam family "Bacterial small subunit ribosomal RNA", at positions 29 to 507 of the family's 1533-position model. The record is from RNAcentral.
AACGAACGCUGGCGGCAGGCUUAACACAUGCAAGUCGAGCGCCUCGCAAGAGGAGCGGCAGACGGGUGCGUAACGCGUGGGAACGUACCCUUAUCUUCGGAAUAGCUCUGGGAAACUGGAAGUAAUACCGAAUGUGCCCUUAGGGGGAAAGAUUUAUCGGAUAAGGAUCGGCCCGCGUUGGAUUAGCUAGUUGGUGGGGUAAAGGCCUACCAAGGCGACGAUCCAUAGCUGGUCUGAGAGGAUGAUCAGCCACAUUGGGACUGAGACACGGCCCAAACUCCUACGGGAGGCAGCAGUGGGGAAUAUUGGACAAUGGGCGCAAGCCUGAUCCAGCCAUGCCGCGUGAGUGAUGAAGGCCUUAGGGUUGUAAAGCUCUUUCACCGGAGAAGAUAAUGACGGUAUCCGGAGAAGAAGCCCCGGCUAACUUCGUG